Molecule: ribosomal RNA, 394 nt
Filed under: uncultured Alphaproteobacteria bacterium
Lineage: Bacteria; Pseudomonadati; Pseudomonadota; Alphaproteobacteria
Description: bacterial SSU rRNA
Rfam family: Bacterial small subunit ribosomal RNA
Source: RNAcentral
GAGUUUGAUCUUGGCUCAGAACGAACGCUGGCGGCAGGCUUAACACAUGCAAGUCGAACGCGUGUAGCAAUACACGAGUGGCGCACGGGUGAGUAACGCGUGGAUAUCUGCCUUUUGGUUCGGAAUAACCCCGGGAAACUGGGGCUAAUACCGGAUGGCUCCUUCGGGAUAAAGAUUUAUCGCCAAAAGAUGAGUCCGCGUACGAUUAGCUAGUUGGUGAGGUAAUGGCUCACCAAGGCGACGAUCGUUAGCUGGUCUGAGAGGACGAUCAGCCACACUGGGACUGAGACACGGCCCAGACUCCUACGGGAGGCAGCAGUGGGGAAUAUUGGACAAUGGGGGCAACCCUGAUCCAGCCAUGCCGCGUGAGUGAUGAAGGCCUUCGGGUUGUAAG